This 326-nucleotide long non-coding RNA is filed under the name Brassica napus (rape). RNAcentral's name for it is "long non-coding RNA (BNAP_LNC010270)". Lineage: Eukaryota; Viridiplantae; Streptophyta; Magnoliopsida; Brassicales; Brassicaceae. The record is from RNAcentral.
UGUUAGCUAUUACGGUUUAGAGCAAUAGAUAGAGAUAUAAUUCAAGAGUUCGAGUCUUUUGCAUUGUGAUCUAAGCUUUCUAUUGUUACACAAAGAGAUUGGUUUCAUAUUCUAAUAAAAGGAAUACUUUUGGUUACGUUAUUGCUCUAAGUUCUUAAAGCACAAGUAGGUUAAAAAUCAACAAGUGGUAUCAGAGCAAUCCAGGUUUUGAUUGCAAGGAUACUUGAACAAGAAUGACUAAACCAAAGAUCGAGAGAAUCGACAUAGAUCGGUUCGAUGGAACAGGAGAUUUUCGCUAUGGAAGGUUCGGAUGAUGGCUCACUUUG